Mya arenaria is the source of this 509-nucleotide long non-coding RNA. RefSeq lists it as uncharacterized. NCBI's taxonomy places the organism in Eukaryota, Metazoa, Mollusca, Bivalvia, Myida, Myidae. The transcript is spliced from 3 exons. The record is from RefSeq and is a predicted model, not a curated record.
CGCGCCAACUGUCAGAAUGUUUUGAAAAACAAAAUGCUCUUAUUUCGAUGCAUUUCAAGAGUUUUGUUGUGAUAAAAACACUGGAAUAUAGACUGAAAUACUAUCCAACCAUUAGACUCAUGAUCUUGACAUGGAUCCAAGAUGCUGGUAACUAGGCGGAACGGAUUGUUUCACAGAACUGCAGGUUUCUGGAUGGAGACUCAGCGCCAUGUCACAAAUACUUCAGAACCUAGAAUGAAAGUUACCGAAAGAGCAAUAGACUUUCCAAUCUCUACAAAAUUCAUCUUAACUGUUCUUCAAGGUGAUACUUGAGACUACCAAAGACUUUUCAAGGACAGAAUUCACAAAACAGUUUAUGCCACCAUCUCAUAUCAAAGGAUUGUGCUUGAGUUGAACAGCCUUCAAACAGAAGCUGUUUCAACACCUUCAAUGUGUUAUGCUGUAAAAAUUCGAGUACUUUUGUGUAAUGAAGUUUUACGAAAUGUCAUCAAUACUUUUCAUGUUUCAUA